RNAcentral lists this ribosomal RNA (424 nucleotides) under uncultured bacterium. RNAcentral's name for it is "bacterial SSU rRNA". It matches the Rfam family "Bacterial small subunit ribosomal RNA", at positions 355 to 775 of the family's 1533-position model. The record is from RNAcentral.
CGAGGAAUAUUGGUCAAUGGGCGCAAGCCUGAACCAGCCAUCCCGCGUGCAGGAAGACGGCGCUAUGCGUUGUAAACUGCUUUUCCAGGGGGAGAAACUUGCGCACGUGUUGCGCUAUUGACGGUACCCUGGGAAUAAGCAUCGGCUAACUCCGUGCCAGCAGCCGCGGUAAUACGGAGGAUGCGAGCGUUAUCCGGAUUCAUUGGGUUUAAAGGGUGCGUAGGCGGACUAUUAAGUCAGUGGUGAAAUCCUGCAGCUUAACUGCAGAACUGCCAUUGAUACUGAUAGCCUUGAGUUUGGUUAAGGUAGGCGGAAUGUGUAAUGUAGCGGUGAAAUGCUUAGAUAUUACACAGAACACCAAUUGCGUAGGCAGCUUACUGAGCCGACACUGACGCUGAGGCACGAAAGCGUGGGGAUCGAACAG